UAACUUUCAAACUCUAAUCUUGCUUAAUUACGUCAUACGUGACGUCACGAAACGUAUCACAAGCGGUACAACUGGCAAACACCGUUUUCACGAAGUGGCCUCUUACGCGCAAAUGUAGUCUGCUAUUGAUAAUCGUACACGAACCGGCUCCGCGAAGCCUUUGUCACAGAUGCCGGUGCUUCUGGCGGAAUUGUUAGAGGAAUCUGACAGCCCUAGUUUACCAGUAGAAUAGACAGCUGGGAUACGCAAGAGAUGAGGGACCACUAGCACCCCAGUGGUUGAUGUCCAUGUAGGAGUUUGUGCAGCUGAUGUGGAGAGCUUUUAGCGAAUUGACAAGCAUCUUCACCCUCUGCCCUUGAACUGAUCGCUUUUCCAAUACCACGGUUUGGAGGUCAGACCAAACGACUGACAGACCGACCGACUGAAUAGCUAAGUCCCCUCAGUCAUCAAAGGAUGGACAAAAAUACAGAAGUUAUUGUUAGGUGGGAUCGUGAUGGAGAGAUCAAUUGUGGCAAGAAACGAGAUCUUCGAUAUAACGGAAGGCAUAGGGUGGAUUCAAGAGUUACUAUGAGCUAGAUGGAUUUGGACUAAACGGGGACUGCAACGCUGACAGGAGACUCUGACUCCGAAUGUGCCUCCAUUUAGAGGUUUUGUGGUCUAGUGGAUAAGUCGUUGGACUGUGGAUCACAGGAUCCAUGGUUCAAGUCCCGCCACAGCAGUAAUGUCUUUUGGCAAGAUAUUAAUCUACAU
Strongylocentrotus purpuratus (purple sea urchin) is the source of this 750-nucleotide long non-coding RNA. RefSeq lists it as uncharacterized. The transcript is spliced from 4 exons. NCBI's taxonomy places the organism in Eukaryota, Metazoa, Echinodermata, Echinoidea, Camarodonta, Strongylocentrotidae. The record is from RefSeq and is a predicted model, not a curated record.